GGGUGACUAGUCUAGUGGUCAGGACGCUUCGUUGUGGUUUCUGAAUGGAUGCCCAACGACCGAAGAAACCCCGGUUCGAUUCCGGGGUCGCCCA
Molecule: non-coding RNA, 94 nt
Organism: Staphylotrichum tortipilum
Lineage: Eukaryota; Fungi; Ascomycota; Sordariomycetes; Sordariales; Chaetomiaceae
Source: the annotation of a GenBank genome assembly